CAAUAGCGUAUAUUAAAGUUGUUGCAGUUAAAAAGCUCGUAGUUGGACUUGUGGUGGUUCCUGUGGUCCAAUUUUGGUACUGUCGGGGACUGCCAUCUUUGGGUGGAUCCUGUGUGGCAUUAGGUUGUCGUGCAGGGGAUGCCCAUCGUUUACUGUGAAAAAAUUAGAGUGUUCAAAGCAGGCUUAUGCCGUUGAAUAUAUUAGCAUGGAAUAAUGAGAUAGGACCUUGGUACUAUUUUGUUGGUUUGCGCACCGAGGUAAUGAUUAAUAGGGACAGUUGUGGGUAUUCGUAUUCCAUUGUCAGAGGUGAAAUUCUUGGAUUUCUGGAAGACGAACUAAUGCGAAAGCAUUUACCAAGGAUGUUUNCAUUAA
This 372-nucleotide ribosomal RNA is filed under the name uncultured eukaryote. RNAcentral's name for it is "partial 18S ribosomal RNA". It matches the Rfam family "Eukaryotic small subunit ribosomal RNA", at positions 592 to 976 of the family's 1831-position model. The record is from RNAcentral.